AUGUUCUAGAAGAGUUUGAUGAGGGGAAGCGGAGCUGUCGUAGGCGUUUAGCUGGUCAUAACAAACGAAGAAGGAAAACACAUCCAGAAAAUGUAGCUAAUGGAGCCUCCGUGAAUGAUGAGGGGGGUAGCAACUACUUAUUAAUUAGUCUGCUGAGGAUACUGGCCAAUGUACAGUUCAAUAGCUCGGAUCAAACUAAAGACCAGGAUCUGUUGUCACAUCUGCUAAGAAACUUAGCUAGUCUGGCUGGUGCAGCUAAUGAGAGGAACGCAUCGGGCUUGUUGCCUGCACCUUCAGAUCUGCAAAACCCAGGGACAUCUAUGGAGGCUCCAAAAGAGGACUCUCUUAGGCCUAAUGCGAAUUGUUUGACUAUACCUGCAUCAGAAGUGAAAGAGAAGAGAAUGGACAGGGGCACGAGCGAUGCUGAACGUGGAAUUUCACAAAAUCUUUGUGCUUUACGGCCUGAGACUCUGUGUUGUAGAAAAGAGAGCUUACCUAUCAAUGCAAAUGCCUCAGUCACCACAUCUGCACCGUUGAAGCUAAAUAUCGAUUUGAAUAACAUCUAUGAUGAUUCUCAAGGUGGCAUUCAAAAGUUGCAGAAUUCUGAUGUCUUUGUAAACCCAGGGGCUGCAUCUUCUGGCUGUCCUCUAUGGAUAAGUCAUGACCCUCAUAAGUCAAGCUCCACAAGAACAAGUUUGAACUCAGGAUCCACCUCAUCCCUUUCACCAUCUAGUUCAAGUGGAGAGGCUCAGAGUCGAACGGAUCGUAUUGUCUUUAAACUUUUUGGGAAAGAUCCUGGUGAAAUUCCCACAGGCUUGCGGAAGCAGGUUCUUGAUUGGCUAUCACACAGUCCUACAGAUAUUGAAAGCUAUAUUAGACCUGGUUGUAUCAUACUAACAAUAUAUCUUCGGAUGGAUAAACCCAUAUGGGAGGAGCUUUAUUCUGAUCUUAACUCUAGUUUGAGGAAACUUCUUAAUGCAUCCGCUGGUUCAUUUUGGCGAACUGGAUGGGUUUAUUCUAGGGUGAAGGAUCGAGUGGCAUUUUUGUUUAAUGGGCAGGUUGUUCUGGACACUCCCUUGCCAAGCCAUAGAAGCUGUGGGAUAUCAAUCAUCAAACCUAUUGCAGUUUGUGCCUCUGAAAGAGUUCAAUUUUUGGUCAAAGGCUUCAACCUAUCUCGUCCCACUACAAGGUUUCUAUGUGCCAUGGAAGGAAAAUAUCUAGUUCAGGGGAAUUGUACUGAUGUGAUGGUAGGAGCUGAUUCUUGUAUGGACUAUAAUGAGAUCCAGUCUCUUAGUUUUCCUUGUACUGUGCCA
RNAcentral lists this unclassified non-coding RNA (1313 nucleotides) under Hevea brasiliensis (rubber tree). Lineage: Eukaryota; Viridiplantae; Streptophyta; Magnoliopsida; Malpighiales; Euphorbiaceae. The record is from RNAcentral.